UUAAGAAAAUGUUUUAAUUAACUUAAUUGAGUUAGGUGUUCCCUGAUCCAUAGUGCUUAAUUACUUAAGGACUUAGAUAACAGCUAGUAGUUUUCGCAAGUUAUAGCCUAAUUCAGAAAAUACUCUUCCACUAAAAUUAGGAGACUUUGGAUAAUUAAAUGAACAAAAGAUUUUUCUUUCUUUUUUUUAAGGGGAGAAAAUGACCGAAAAUAUAAAAAAAAUUAGAAUUUAGGGGUGCUAAUUACAUGGUUUGCAAUAGUGGUCCAUUCUUAGAGGAAAUUAGAACUCAGCCAAAUUAAAGUAAUCAAAUGUUCAAAACAACUUUUGAAAAAAUAAAAGUUAAUUAUUAGUGCUAAAAAGGAAACCAACAGGAUCAUCAUUUUUGUGUCAUUUCCCUUUGUCUUUUCUAAAUAUCUCUAUUUCUGAAGCAAAAGUCCAACUACUUUUGGUGUGAUAGAAAGCCAAAAAUAUUUUUAAUAAAAUCUUUUGUGAGAUAUUUCCUAGCAACACGCAUUCUUUUCUACCGUCGAAUAACAUCGAUGACGCUCUAGAUUUGAAAAAGCACUAUCUUAUGGUAGGAGAAGAUGCAUCGAAGACUCAAAACUUGUUUGAUACAUAAACCUUUUUACCUUUUACUUUUUAGGAAAAGGAAAAGAUAUUCUUUGCCCUUUUUAUUCCGUAGGAACAAGUAUAAAAUGCCUCAUCUCAACAAGGAAGAUAUAGUGGAUAAGCAUUAAAGUCAAAAGAUUGAGUAGUUACAUGGCAAAGUCACAAACUACAACGUGCUAAAACUGCACCAAGAGGGGGUUUAAUUACAAGUUAGGUGUGGGAAGCUACUUGAAGAAGUCCAAACAAUUAAAGGAUCGUGGAGGGAGUUAUACUUAGCUUGCACACAUCCUGUUGUACUUCUCAAUCAUCAUUCAUCAUCAUCAUCAACUCAUCACCCAUUCAUCAUUAUCAACUCAAUCAAUUGCUUACUUGGUUUUGUUGCUUGAGGGGUAAGAACUGCUUACUCACUGUCCUUCCCCCCCAAAAGUGCUUUUCGCAAUCAAUCACAGUGAAAGAGACCGCAGUUUUGAGUAACUGGAGGAAUGUAUGCGUUCCAGGGGGUACUUUAGUGAAUUAGUAGUAGUUUAUGUUUUGCCGCCACGUGGAGCUCGUGCCGACGACUUUUUCCUUUUUUUUUUUUCCAAAUUUUAUGUGCAUAAUGUUUUUUAGGCCAUCGUUUGGUUCGGAGUUAAGAAAAAAUAGCUAUUCCAGAAAUAUGAAUAAGUUCAGAGUUAAAAUGGUGUUAAAAUUUUUUUGUGUUUGGUUGGAGGUUGGAGUUAGUCUAGGAUAGUGAAAAAAAGUGUUUGGUUGGAGUAGAUGGGAUAAGAAGAUAAUGAUUGAUAAAGAAGAAAAAGGUGAGGGAUCGGAAUGCGUGCGGGGUUAAAGUUGGGAGGGGAGUGGGGUUAAUGAUUGAUAAAGAAGAAAAAGGUGAGGGCUCGAAAUGUGUGCGGGGUUAAAAUUGGGAGGGGGAGUGGGGUUAGUAAACCCCACUAACCUGGUUUGGGGUGGGGUUUACUAACCCCACCCCUUAAGAGUGGUGUUUGGGUAUAAAUUGGGGGUUAAGGGGUUAUUCCACCCCUUAACCCCCAACUAAACGGUGGCUAGCUGAAUAGUUAUUUUAUGUAAGAAUGAAAUCAAGUCAAUUUUACUGUAAAAAAUCAAAAUGUAAAUGUCACAUCAAUGUCUAUAACUGUUGUAAGUAAGUAGAAGUUAUGAUAAAAAGAUAGAUUUGACUGCAAAGAUAACAUAUACUUGAUUGACUUGUUAUUGACUUUUUGAUAAAAUAAUUAUUACGGUAAUUGGUUUUUGAACUCUUUUUGGAGAAUUUCUAUUUGGAUCCCAUGUAAUAAAGCAGUAAGUAAUUAAAAAUUUUCUGCUCAAUGGAGAUACAAAAAAUUUGAUCAUAUGUUCCUUCAGCCAAUUUCUCUAAUACCGGAGCGUAAGAUAAUAUUGAAAUUUUGGGUAAAUUACACAAAUAGUUCGAACUCUUUUCUGAUUUUUUAACUGAGUCUCCAAUUUAUUGUUUUGUCGGUCAAAUUUUCAAAAUGCAGAAGUUUUUUCAAUUGGUUUUCUAUCGUGAAUCUUCCGUUAUAAUUGAUGGAAGAUGACAUAUAAUUAAUGUGACAUAUAAUGUGAGCACUGACUCGACACUACGUUGUCAUAGUUUUUUGAGUUAGUAACACAACUGUUACCCAAACUUUUUACGACUUUUCAAUUGGGUCUCUAAUUAUUUCUUUUGUCGAUCGAGUCCUCAACCUUUUUUCAAUUUUACUAACUACAACAGUCACUACAAUAAAAACGGUCUAUAGCGACACUUUUAAAUAUAGGUACAUGUCAAAAAAGUGCUGUUAACUAAAAUUACCGACACUUUUAAAAAGUGUUGCUAUAUGUAGGGUCGCUAGGUAUAUAGUGACAGUUAAAGAGUGUCGCUAUAACCUAAAAAAAUGCUGCUAAUUUACCAACACUUAUUUAAGCAUUUAGCAACUGCCGAAACUCUAUCUCGUUAGCUGCGGUGGCGGAGGAGGACGACAGGAAUGGCUCUUCGUCUAGAAUUUCAGUGGAUUGAGUGAAGAGAGAAGAAAAUAUGCUAAUUGAUUUUUCUUUUUUUUUUCUUUUCUAUUUGUAAUCGGGCCAAAUGGACUGGAUGUGGUGGGUUGAGUAGAGAAAUCUUUUAUUUUUGGUUGGAUUGGAGUUUAUAUUUAGGCAUUAGUAGAUGUUUUUUUAAGUUUUAGCAUAAAUGGGACACUUACUCAAAAGUGUCCCAAACAUGUGUACCUAUAACCUAAUUCUGUUGUAGUGAGUACCAUUCUCUAGGCUUCGUUUGGUUCGGAUAUAAGUAAGAACUGUCUAUUUCAGAGAUAAGCUUUGUUUGGUUCAGAUAUAUGCAAGAAUUGUCUAUUCCAGAAAUAUGUAUAAUUAAGUUUGGUUAUAAGUUUGGAAUAGACCAAUUGUAUGUUUGGAUGAAAAUUGAAUUGUUUCCGGGAAUAAGAAAAAUAGCUUUUAGAUAGAUAAAAUAGAAUAAAAAGAAUAGUGAGUAAUUAUAAAUAGAAAAUAAUGAUAUUGCCCCUUAUAUUAUAUUUAAAUUUAAAUUUUUAAAAUUUAAAUUUUAAAUUUUAAUAUAUAACUUUUAAAAUUGAAAAAAUAAAAAAAUUAAAUUGAAAAUUUUAAAUCUCAAAUUUAAAAAUUUAAAGUUUUAAAAUUUAAAUUUAAGAUCAAAUUUAAAUUUAAAAAUAUAAAAUUUUAAAUUUUAAAUUUAAAAAAUUUAAAAUAAUAAUUUAAAAUUAUAAAUAUUAAUUUUAAAAUUACAAUUUAGAAUUUUUUUAAUUUAAAUUUAAAUUUUAAAUUUAAAAAUUAAAUUUGAGUAAGAUUAGUUAAUCCCACCCUAAUUCCAAUGUAGGGGGCGGGGAUUGUUCCCUACUCCUAACGGGUUAAAUAACCAUGUUAAGGGUACCGUGGGAUUAACAAUUCCCACCCCAGAAAUUGUGUUUGGGGAUAAAGAGUGUUUGGGGAUAAAGGGGGAUAAUACCUUAUCCGCCGCCCCCCAAACCAAACGCAAGUGUCAAACUCAAACAAUGUAAGCAUAUUUUUGUCCCAUGUAUUGAUCUUGGCAAGUUUCCCAACUGAGGAAUAUUAUGAUUUAUGACUUUAGGUUUCAAAAAAAAGAAAAGAAGAGAAAAAAAGGGAACAUUAUGACUUCAUGAAACAAGAGAAUUAGAGAGACACUUAACUAUCAUGUAAAUUACAUGCAUCAUUUUAUAACUAUGUAUCUCCAUGGUAUAUAUACAUGUUUUGUUGCCUGAAUUCAUGAAUAGCUUUUCUACUCUGAACAGCAGUUUACAGAAAUUUGAGGAACAAACAUUGAAGUUCUCAAAAAGUUGAAAUGAAUACGUUGCUUUUGUUUACCAUAAAACUUUUUGCUUUGUCUUCGCCCAUGAAUGGUUGAAUACUAAAGUUAUACUACAUGUCUUUUUUUUCUUUUUUUCUUUUCCCUCUAUUCUCACUGCUCCAUCGUACUCGACAAAUUAGGAACUUUUAUUCUUUGUCGCAACUUAGUGAAGAGUUAUUUGAGAAUUUUAUUUCUAGUUAUUGUUAUUUCUAGUAACUCCAUUUGAAAAUUAAGUAGAUUUUUCGUAGUAGUAAACCUUUCUUGCAUCCCAUGUGCUAGCUAGUGAGGGUCACUUUUAAUUCAAAGCAGUUCACAAUUUGAGUUUGGAUUCAAAAAGCUAUGGAGAGAGUACUACCAAAUUCUAAACCCAAAAUAGAGGCUAAAAGUUUUUAUAUGAUCACCUCUACACACAAAACCAGGUCUAAUAAUCUGUAUGAACGGAGCUGAUUUUGUUGGAAUUUUGAUUUGACUUGGUUGGUUGGUUCAUCCGUUGAAUCCAAAUUUUAAUAAAGACCUCUUUUGAAAACUUAAAAAAAAAAAGGAAUUUGGCUAUAACAAAACUUAAUUUUUGCUUUAGUUAUCUAAAAAUACUUUUAAUGCUAGAAAAAGCAACUUAAAAUUUAAAAAAGCCAGAAAAAUUUCAAGGUGUAAUAAUACUAAAGUAGUUGGCAUCUAAAUUUUUUUUUUUUAAAAAAAAAAAAAACUAAAAUCCAGUGACUUUGGUAGAUUUAUAAGUAAAUGGAUUUAAACAACUCAACCACCAGUUUAGUUGCGAAGCUUCUUCAUCACACACCAAGUCAAAGAAAAAAAGGUACAAAAAUUAUUUUUAAUUACUAAGAAGUUAAAAACAACCAUGUGCUUAGCCUUAGCCAUUGAAAUUGACUACGUAUAUGCUGAAACUUCCUAUUCAAAUGAAUUCUCUCGUGCUUCCAAAAGCAUCUCUAAUGCAUUAAUUUGUUAGUUUACUUUUAUUAUUUUUCGUUAAAAAGGUCAUUGAUGACAUCAAAAUACAUGAUGAGAUAAUGGCGUGUGAAAUGGGUCUUAAACUCUUCAAAGUCCUAAAUUGUAAGUCAUGGUCUUUCUUUUACUCUUCUAGAAACACGAGUAGCUAAUUUUUAAAUUGAUAGAGAGAAAAAAAGCCUUUUCCACAAGUUUUUUUUCGUAGAGAGAAUUUUGGUUGACAUUGAGGGCUUGUUUGAUUCAAGGGUGAAAUUAGAAUGGAUAAUGGAAUUGAAAUGAAUUAGAAUGGUAAUUAGAUUGGCCCACUCCCCCAAAACGUUUGGCUCAUUUGUGGAUUGGAAAUUGAAAUGAGUUAUUCCUAUUUCAUUGUUUAGUUCAUAUAAACUAAAAAAUUAUAGGAUACCAUAAUAAUAAUAAUUUAACUCUCAAAUAUAAUUUUAUAUUAUUUAAAAUUUAUGAAAAACAUAAUACUAUUCUCUAAUGAGUUUUCCAAAAAAAAAAAUUCAGAUUUAUUUUUAAAAAUUUUUAUGCAAGAAAAAAAAUUAUAAAAAAUUAUAGGAUAGGUUUUUUUUAGGGGUAAGAGGGGUGAGGGAUAGGGUUUUUUUUUUUUUUGAUGAGAGAGGGGUGAGAGAUCGUAUACAGAGAGAGGAGGGUGAGAUGGUCUCAUGGGCUUCGGGAAUGAAAUCUCAAUCCGGGCGGGGAGACCGGAAUCAAGUUAAAGGCUGAUGGGCCAUUCCCAUUUCAGUCCGGAAUAGAAAUCCCAAACCGAUUCCUGCGAACCAAAAUAAAAUUAAUCGGAUUUGAUCAAACCGAUUUCCAUUCCAUAUUCAAAAUGGAUGAAUUUUGCCGUGGAUUCGGACCAAACAAGCCCUGAGUUCAGAUUUGAUUUGUUUCGAGCUUCUAAGUUUCGAAUUUUGCCGUGGAUUCGGACCCGAAACAAACCCAAUUUUCUAAUGAUUGGGCCAAACCAGGCCUUUUUGGGCCCAAAUUAAGGGUUGGAAUUUGCAUGCUAAUGUGAAUGAGGGUGUAAGCAUUUAUGAGUCUACUAAGGAACUCCGUUCAAGUCCGAGUGGCCAUUUAGGAGACAAUUACCCCAUGAAAGCCAUCUAGAUGUGAAAGUUCCCAGUAAGGAAUAAUUAAAGAAAGAAAGAAAACCAUUAAAACAAAACAAGAUGCGUAAGAUUCUACAAAAGUGCUACUUAGAAAAAAAAACAGUUCAAAAAAUCCAAAAUCUUUCAAUUAGCUUAACAUAUUUUGGCCAAAAUUAGAAGUAUAAAACUCUAAAUUGAAGCAAUUGUGAACAAUGGGGCUUAGCUCAGCUACAGUUAGCCAUUAUACAAACUCACAUAUAGCCCUUGUUUGGAAAACCGAAUAAGAAUUAUACCGAUCUUACGAUUUAGAGUAAUAAGAUAUGACAGUGCAUUUCCCUCUCCAUGAAGCAAAAACCUUGUUUAUACUUCCACUACAAUUUACUUUCACCAAAUCUAAAAUCUAUAUUGAGAAAAAUGAAAAUGAGUGCAAAGAAGCGGAGUAUCCAUAUCUAAGUCGGCAAAUUUUCGUUCAAGUACCGAGAUACCGCAUCUCUCAGUGUAACUCCAUUCUUAUCCGCCGAAUCGCAAAACUGUUGGUUAUAACUCACAUCAUGGUGUUGCGAUAAUGGCACUUCGUCCUUCGCUUUAUCCUCGAUGUCUAUUAUUAUAUUAUGCAGCAAACAGCAAACAAGAAUUAUUCUCGGCAAUCGGUGCUUAUCGGGCCGCCACAUCUCCCCCUGAAGGAACUUCCACAUUUCUUUGAAUCUUGCCAAGGCUUUUCGAGCCACCAUUCCUGUCGCCUUAAGCCGCUCAUUGAAACCGUGUUUGGCUUCUGACGUAAGCUCUCUCCCUCUGUAGGGAGUCAGAAGCCAAGGAAGAAGUGGGUACCCUUCAUCUCCAGCAAUGUACUCUCUUACUUCAGCUCCUGAGAUUUCCAUGCCUUUUCCGUUAAGCCUCAUACCUUUUUCACAUAGUUUAUAAAAGCCCGAGCUUUUUAAAACCACCGGCUUAUUCAUGCUGCCAGGCCAGCCGGUCACUACAUCUCUGAACCUCAUGGAGGGGUCCACAACGGCUUGCAAAAUCAUACUGUGGUUCUUUUCGUAAUCGAGCCACACUUUGCUAUUGGGUUCUGCCGAAGGCAAGCACAUUACAAUGUGCGUGGUGUCAAUGGCUCCGCAGCAGUUUGGGAGGCCGCGGAUUUUUUCGAAUUCGGAUUUUAUGUUUUCCAUUUCUUGAACAUUGGGCCACUUGAGGUGGUGGAGACCGCGCUGCUCCAUGGAUUCGAUGAACCGCCAGGUUAGUUGUGAGACGGUCGAGUGGUUCAAACCGAAUGAUGAGCCGACAUUGACCAGCGAUGAACCUGAGCUUAGCCUUGUUAGGGCAACGGCUACUUGGUCGCUUAUUGAGAGGGGCUUGCCAUCGCCGAAGGUAAAGUGUGAUGUUUUUGCGAUUAAGUCCUCCUUUACUAGUGAGCAUAUGUAGUCAAAUGUCUUUCUUGAGAAUCUGAAGAGACACUCAAAGUGUUGCUUGUCCUUUGAUGAAAAUAAGGGUCCUAGGCAUACAAGAGAGAUAAGAGAUUUAGUAUUCAAAUAUAGAUGGCAAUCAUGUGUAGAAGAACUACACUGAAGUUAGGAAAGUGACAUUAACUAAAAGAGAAAAAGGUAUGAUUCUUUGUCAUUCUAGAAGCUGAUGGCUAGUGCCUACACUGAACUGCUAUGAAGACAAAGUGGAUGGUUUGGAUCCCUAAUUUGCAUCUAUAGUGAUUUCAUGGUUAGAUAAUCAGAAAAAUGAAUUCAUGGUUUGACAUAUUCAACGUGAAGUGUUCGUUUCAAGAUAUUCUUCACAGAAAGCUUGUGAAAUUGUUAUCAGUGACUACUGCACAGAAACAAUGUACACCAUAUAUAGGUCAUUUUUUACUGCUUUUUUUUUGAGAAAAAUCAUUUUUUACUGCUAAAGAUAGAAAUAUAGGACCUACUUCGAAAUAAUUGUACAUUCAAUCACCUCUCACCUUGCAUUUUGUUGCAUAGAAACAGUGUCCUUACAAUGUAUGCAAGUAUUUCAGAUUAGAAAAAAGGAAACGGAAAAUAGUCAUAUUAGUAAGAGAGACUUCAUUUUCUCUUUCUGAAUACAAAAAUAAGCAGCAGCUGGAUAAGGGCUUGAUGGUUGGUACUCGAGAUCACACGUUUGGAGCCUAUUUAUUUUACAUUUCUAGCUGAGCUCAUUUCUAGAAAAAUGAACGAAGCGGAUAACAUACUAUCUUUCUCCCAAAAAAAAUAUAGUAACAUAAAAUAAAAAUAAGCAGCAUAACAAGUUGUAUUGAUAGUUUCAGAAAGGAGAACUAAAGAUGUCAAAAUGAGGGCCCAGAAUAAGUUGGUCACAACCCAAGGACAUUACGGUCCUUGGGUUUCAUAGAAUGCUACCGGGAAAGAUCAAGGGAAAAGUUAAAGCAAUCAAACUUGGGAUUCUUUCACAGGAGGUGUUUUCAACUGCAUUACAGAUUCAACUGCAUGAGAGCCCAAAAAGCUUCUUUGGCACAUUGCAAUUUUAUCCAGAGAGAGCGGUUGGCAUUAUAGAUAAGGCCUAGCUGUUGCGUCUCUACCUAUGCGCAAGUUGAAUGCAGGUGAAAAUACAAUAGUUAAGGAGAGCCAUCCUACAUGGGGAAUAAUCACCACCAGCCCACCUAUCAAAAAACAAGGAAAAAUUUAUCUACAUUGGAGAUAAUCUCAUCACCUUAUGUAUAACAUGACAAUGUCUAUAGAUACAUUGGAGAUAAUCUCAUCGCCCAACGUAUAACAUGACAAGAUUUAUAGAUGCAACUUCCGCCUGCAUCCACCCAAAUAGAAAAAUUAUAGCUGCGCCAGUCUCAACUAUAUAUAACCAAGCCUAGAGGGUGUAAUUGUAACUGCUGCAUGUCCAAUAUUAUGCAUCUCUAAUUAGACAACAUUUAUAAUUAUAUCUAACCGAACAACCCCUUGGUGAUGGUAUGAACAUUCAGGCGGUAGAGAUACCCCACGAUCCAAUAUCUGUGCUGGAAAACAAUAUCGUAUAAUAACAAGCAUAAUCUUGUUUAACUCCUAGAAUGCCAUCAUAUUUUCUACAUGUUGCCUUAUGACUACACAAGUACAAUUAUAAUAUGCGAAUGUUUACUCUUGUAGGUUCUGAUUUUAACUUACAGUCAGAACCUAUAAUAAGUGAUACUGGCUUCCAUUCGUCAGUCAACUUUGCCGUCAUCUCAGGGAUUUCUUUUUUUUAUUUAAAUCAUUGCAAUUUUUUACAGUGGGCAAGAAGAAACACUUACGUAAUCAGAUCAGCAAAAUAUGCAAUUGCAUUUCAGCUGUUUUAUAGUAAGUCAAUUGUCUACCAAAUUAACUUCUACUCUAAAUGUGUGUUUGGCUUGGUUGGAGUUAUGUAGUUUGAGUAGGGCUGUUAUAAAAAACACAAAAGAAUUUUUCAUUGGAAAUUUCUCCAAUUGCUUAUUUAACUUUCCACCACGGAAGAUUUUUAUAUUCUGUUUGCCAAAGGGUUGGCUACUAUUUAUUUACAUAGAGAAGCCAUUCUUACUGAUCCCUAAGAGUCCACCUAUAAGGUCAUAGAUAUCUCCAAGUGCACACCUAAAAAGUGAAAACUUUAUCUACAUGAACAAUCAACACUUAACCUUUUGACUCAAUUAUCCUUGUGACUAGUGGUGAAACAAAAUUUCUAUUUGACUAAGAUUGGAAGACAUUCACUUCGUCCUUAAGAAGGCAAUUUGGUUCACCAAAAUAGAGACCAAGAACAACUAGGAGUACUACUAUGAAGGUUCAAUAUGGGCUUACUUAGCUUGAAAUAGCAGUUUGAUGAUGUCAAAAAUGGAAUAAUCAAUUACAAAAGGCUGCAAAACCACCAUGGAACAAGCGCUUUGAGAUCUAGUUUGACUGGAACAAAGCUAUGGAGUAACUAAUCGUAGAUGAAGUGAUACUCUUAUUCUAGUGUUCCCUAUCUGGCUAAUCUUUUUUACUUAAAAAAUUAUAUAUAUAUUCUCUUAUUGCAGGCAGAAGUGUGCUAGCUAGUGUUUCCUGACUAGAUAAAAGCAUAAUAGUUUCAGAUGUUCUGUAGUGAGAUAUGACAUUACACAUCAUAUACAGAGGAUCAAUCAACAAAAUCACCAUAUCAGCCAACUUUAAUAUAAGAAGAAAUUUACAACUUUGACAUGGAAGGAAAGAGAUCAUAUUGAAUCAUCGCUGACUAAUACUAGAGAGCAUUCAAAGAGCCUUAUCCAUUUGGACAUUGUUAAACCAUUCUUAUGGCAAAAAAUGAAAAGGAACUGCUUUACAUUAAAAUGUAGGAUAAAAAAUGGGGCUUGUUGUCAGUUUUUACAACUUAAAUUGAGCCAUAUAAGAGAAUAAGCAGAAUAAGCAGUCUGUUGAUCAAGUUGUCUGCUUUUACUAUGAUAAAUUAAAGAGCAAAGACCAUCAGAGUUUAAGCCAAGAAUUCAAUAAACCAAAUAUAAACAAAGGUUCAAAAUAUUGCUUUUGGUUAUGGUUUCUGGUAUUCAGGCAAUGAGUGCUUUAAUUGCAGUCUUGGGUUUCGAUUCCCGAUUUCGUUAGAAGAUUCAAAUUUCCGCAAGGACCAAAAGAAAUAUAGAUAAUUGGGUCAGCGUAACAAACAUAUUUUCGCAGCAUUUUGAUAUGCUAAAGGGAUCAGUAAUGCCUCUCUUACUUAGUUACGGAGAACAUGGCUAACUUGCAUUCCGUUGUUUAUUAAAAUAUCAUGUAUGAAAAAAAUAUAAGAUAUCUACAAAUAGAUAAAGACCGGCAUGUGUAAGCUACUUUUGGCCAAUUAUGGCCUACAUACAAAAAAUAAAGCCCUCUUUAGAGUUACUUUCCUUUUAUUGAUUGAUAGACAACUCUUGACACCAAAAGGAGUUGGUUUUGGACUUUCAUUGCAUAAAUCACUGUUUCUAGAAGCAAUGGCAAAUGAAUUGAGACGAUCAUAAUGAUAUCAUCAGCAAAAGAAGUAAAAAAUUGUAAUGCUAGAAAAGAACCACUGUAAGUGUUUUAUUAUGAAAAGAAAACAGAUCCCUCCAUCAAUUGGAAGUAAAUAAAAGCUAAUGGUGGCUUCUCUAGGAAUACAUUGCUUCUGGGGAGAGUCAAAAAAAAUACCUACAUGUUAUCUAUUUGUACUUAAGAAUUCCCUGGAGCAUAAGAGCUACUCUAAAGAAACCGAAUUAAUCCUAAAUAGUAUCCACCAAUCUAUGUCAUCUAUAAGUGUUUUCCAUUUUCAACCUGACAAUUUAUUGCUGAUAAAAAAGAUACAGAUUGAGACUCGAAUUCUUUUUAUACCCGAAAUUUUUUGGAAAGAUCAGCAUAUUCAAUACAUUAAGUAAACUCGCAGAAGUCUAUAGUGUUUAUAUAGACAAUGAGCAAACUGUUUAAAAUACAUCGUUACGUCAUCAUCAACUAGCAAUGUACUGAUCACCUGUUCAUACUACAUGAUUAUUGUAAACUUCAACACAUUUAUACGCCACAAACUACGAAACCCAAAUCAGAAAGGAAAAUAAAAUUCUUCUUCUUUUUACCUUUCUCUUCUCAUCAGUAAAGUCCAGUAAUAUAGGACAUUAUCACGCAAUCAAAUGCACAGACAAGGCAUUAUAAGCAAGGCAAAUUGUGGCGCGAAAUGUCCACAAGUUCACAGCUUUAAUUCGGAAAAAUGACAGGCGUCUCAAUUGACUGUAAUGCAACAAAAAUAGCGGAAACUAUCAGUUUGAAACAACUUACCGUUCACCGUAAAGACCUUAGAAACCCUAUAAGUAGAUGUGAUUGGCCAUCUCAAACACACAAGUGACCCAAAACCUGCACUUUCCUAAUCUGCAUAGGAAUUAUGCCCUAGAUACCUCUCUUAAUCACUAAUACAUGAUCAGCUCCAAUUAAACGUUCUCAACAACAGAGAAGCACGAAUGGCGCACGUAAACACUGACCCCCUCCAUUCUAUAAAAGCGAUUUUGGCAAAACUAAGCUACAUUAAGUAAGGAUCCGAUUUUGAUAUAUAAAUUGGUAAUAGAAAAGGCAAAAUCGUAGACGGUAAUUUGUAUUCUAGUUCGCAGAUGUAAAACCAGUAUCAUUACGUUUCCUAACCAAUAAAUUGUAAUUAGUUUAAUUUCCGACUAGAAGCCUUUAUGAUAAUCAUUAUGCCCAAUCCAUCGUAUUUCCAACAUACACAAAGCAACACAAAUUACAUUCUCACAUGUAAACAAAUGUAAGAAGCUGCUUAUACCAACUAAUUCCAUUAACCCAGAGUAAACAGUAAUGAAACAGAAUCAUACAACUCUAGAGAGAGAACAUGAAUCACAAGAGAUGGAGAGAGAGAGAGAGAGAGAGACCUGUGAUCCUCUUCGAGAAGGAGUCCCACCAAUCACCACUCUCCGGGCCCGACGACAUCGGCGGGGCAUCGGCGGCGGCGGAGGCGAAGGCGCUUCUCCUCUCGGGCUUCUUCUCCGCCCUCUUCCUCUUCUUGGAGCCUCUCACAGGCCCCAUGAUCGCAGCUCCCACCACCAACAACGACAGGGAGAAGCAAAUGGCCCGAUUCAGAGCUCAAAGAGAGGAGAGAUCGAAGAACACGACCCGGGAACCACAAGGCGAAGAGGAGAACCACGGGACCCAAAAGUCCCCUGCUUGGAUUAGCAUGCGCGAGGAGAGGAGUGUGGUGAGAAGAGGCAUGCAAGAGUAUGCUCCCUGGGUAGAGAGAGAAAGAAGAAAGAGAGGGAGGGGAGGGGUUGGUAGAGAGAGAAUGUUGUAGUGAGGAGGAGAUAGAGAGGGAGAGAGAGAGAGAGAGAGAAUGCUUGUAGUAUUAUUAUGAGCAUGCAAGGAGGUGUUUUUUCAUGGAUGGAUUGUGGAUUUGAGAUGGCUACAAAGGGAGGAGAGAUGCAGCAAGAGAAGAGAGAGAGAGACAGAGAGAGAGAGAGAGAGAUAGAAAGAGAGAGAGAGUGUGUGUCUUUUAGGGGCAAUUUAGCAAAUAAAACGGAGUUUGUGUAUAAUGGGAGACUUAACUGUUCGGCCCUGCUGCACAGUACAGUAUUAUUUCAUAAAAUUUCAUAAAAAUUUAGUCUAAUUGUUAUUAUUAAAACUAGUUAUAAAAUACUUAAAACUUUAUAUUGGCCAACUAUCAUAUCACCGGACUACAAUAGUUAUGAGGACAGAUAUUCGAACCUCAGAGUGCACCAAAAUUUAAGAUUUGAGCCCCAGCUUUGAAUUUAGCAUAUAUUAAGGUUUAAGAAAGAGUAUAAAAAUGAUAAGAUUAAGAACAACUUCAAUAUAAAAAAGAAUAAUUAUUAUAAAUGAAAAAACAAAAAGCAAAAUAGAGUCAAAUAGAUUUUUUAAUAUUUUCCAUAAAAGUGUACAAAAACAAAAACAUCCUCUCAACAUGCAAUUAGCAUAAUGCCCCUAUUGAGACUCUUUUUUAUCUCAUUAUGCACAAUAUAUAUCAUUGAUUUGGGAUAAAACCUGAGUGGCGUACCAGCUAUGACAAAACUUUUUUUUUUGAAAAAUUAAAGAACUUGUAUUCUACUUUGGUUUAUAUUAUAUGAUAGCAUAGUUGGAUUACUGAGGGGAGAAGAUCUAGCUAAACCACCUUCAUGUUGAUAUAUGACAAUGAGUAGAUCAAUGUCUCUAUUUAUGGAUUUGUAUAUAAUUUUCUCUAUUUUCUUGAUGCUUUCUUGAAGAUCUAAAUUUUAUAAGAAUAUAUAGAUAUGAUCUAUCUUAGGUGACAGUAUAUAUUUUCCUUUUUGGUAAUUUAUGCCCUAAGUUGGUAAUUUUCAGAGAAUUGACCCCUUAAUGAUUCUUAUAUGUAGACUUGAGGAAUGUGGAAGGUGAGAUAAGUUGAACUAGUCCUUGCGUUGAACAAUGGGUCACAAUGUAUCAGUUUUGGAUUAUUAGUAGAUUAUUUUGCAUCUGAAUCAAUUUAGUUCAUCAAUUUUGACUUGAGUUUAAUUUCGUCUUAAAAGCUCCAAUUCCGCCAAUUCAGCCUCACAUGUUAUGGCCCUAAUAUUAAUUCGGAAAAAGUACGUCGAGCUUUUCUGAACUUUAGUACGAUUACGCUUUACCAUGUAAAUAUUAAAAAUGCUAAGAAAUUUACACAAGCACAGGAACUACACUGACAAAAUCAAAAUAUGAGAAUUUCGGCAUUAAAUACGCAAUUAAUCCUUCUAAUGUUUACAUGGUUAUCACAUGGGGACAUUGAUGAGAGUUUUCAAAGUAUUUCGCUGCAGAUCAUCACAAAUCAACUUUUGAUGCCGUUUAAUGUUAGAGAUGUAAAUAUACUCAAUGGAUCAACUAGCAAUUAAUCUGAAUCUAAUUAACCCAAAGCAUUGGGUCCAGCACCCUAAUAAGAGAUUCUAAGCUUAUCAAUUUGAGUUUGGAUUUUAAAUUUGAUUUAAUUUUUGCAUUGCAUUUGUCCAAAAGUUAAACCAUGUUAGAUUUGUAUCCAGGACAAGCCCACUGGGCCUCAUUUCGACCAGAGUUUUGGACGCACAAUUGGCUCAUUGGACUCUAGUUGGGCCUUCAUGUAUAAGCCUUAAAAAAUUCCAUUGCUGCCUCAGUUUAGACAAUAUUGUACAUUCCAAGGUUCUAUUUGUCUCCUUCAUGGAGAGUGUAGUAUUAUUUGAUAUAAUUAUCCUUUUUCUAGUGUUAUUAUUAUUAAAAAAAAGAGUGUUACUUCAAAUUCCAAUAUUCAGCGCCACGGCUCGAUUUGCUUAUCUCAAUGCCUUUAGAUGAAGGAGUUAUACGAGAAACUAUCUAACCUGUGUUAAAAAUAGGUUCUCGGGAGGGUCUUAAGGUGAGGGAACUGUAGCCAACUUCAAACAGUAAAAAAAUAAAAAAUAAAAAAUAAAAUUUGUACCAUCAUAGUAUAUAAAGAAGUUUUACAUCUUUUGUUUUUAAAAUUUGUCAACUUACAAGGGGUUUUUCGUAAAGUUACAAAUCCAAACCAAGUGGAACAUGCAUGUCACGUGCGAGCGGGUGGUAAUCAUCUUGGGCGGCUGUUUCGAAGUAGUUCAGCAACGGGGAUUUAAUGCAGGAGGGGGGAUUAAAGUCAUGGUCCAUCCACUGUACAAUCAGAUAUAUGAACGAAGAGUUAGCUGCCACGUGUCCCGAUAUUUCCGUAUCAGCCUAUCAACUGCUCGUCGAGUUCGUAUAUCCUGUGUUCUUGGGAAGCUAUUGCCUGGACCUGGUCCACCACGUAAUCUGUAGGCCGCGUCGUCAUUCGCGAACUAAUUAUCUUUGCCUUCAAAUUAUACCUUACUUUUUUUUCCCUAGUAAAUUGUAACUACCAACCAAUUAAAUACUUUAGUUAUCGUAUCAGAAAAAUAGUAUAAAAAUUGUAAGCUCGUAUAUCAUUACUUAGAGGAAUUUAUUUUUUUCGAAGGGUAAAAGUGGUGUAUGAUAGAUACUUUGCGCAGUCCAUGGUUGAUGUGGUGGACCAGGUUUAAGAGUACAAUUGGGCCCACUAAUGGGCCCUGCCGAACACAUAGGGUUGUCAUGGUUUUGGGCUUUUCUCUCUGCGGCUGAUGUGGAAAAAUAUAGGUAUUUAUAAUGGACAUUAAGAAUUAAAAAUAAAUCUCGUAUCUGUACUUUCAAUUCAGCAGUCGAAUUAACUUCAUCAGAAAUAAAUUUCUAAAUAAAGAAAAGGCUAUGACUUCUCCUUUAACUCGGACUUUUUUUUUGGGCUGGGGUUGGCCAAGUCAAUUUUCACUUGCUCUGAUACAUUUUCAGCGUAGUUAAUCAUAUUAUUUUAAUCCCAAUUCAUAUUCAAAAUAAAAUACUACUGGAUUUUUCCUGGAUGAAAUAAGUCGAAAGUGAGAUUAGUUGGGUCAGGGUGGAGCUGUGUCCAUUAUGUCCAAUUUGGAAUUAACAUAUAAACAGUGUAAAAAAUUUAGAUCGAGCAAGAACGUUACUGUUAGGGAAUGCUUUGCUAGUGAAGGAUGGAGUUGAAGGAAAAUGUUAAAGAGGAUUGAUUCAGCGAUUCUAGUUUGUAACACGGCAAUACAUGAACUAAAGCUUAAGCUUGUGGAGAAAAGCACCACAAACAACUAGACGAGAUCUUACGGCGAUGGAAUGAGGGGCACAAGUUCUCAGUCAAAUUCAUAUAUAGGAUGCUUUGCAACGGGAGUAUUAGAGAUGUUUUAUCACUUAAGAACUGGGGGCUGCAAAAUUUCAUUGAAAGUGAAGAUCUUUUUUAUAGUUAGCACUUAAGAAAAGAUUCGUCACAGUAGACAAUCUACUUAAGAGAGGGCGGAUAGGGACCAAGCUUGUGUACUCUCUGUUGACACUUGCCAGACAGUUCACCAUCUAUUUUUCAGAUGUGUGUAUAGUAGCUUUUUACUGGCCUCGAUAUUCGAGCGGUCUUGACGAUGUGUGGCUUCUUUGGGAGAAGUUGGUACGAAGAGGAAACUCUCUAACUUAUGGAUUGAACGUGUUCACGCUGACGGCAAUCUGGUGAACAAUUUGGCUAGAAAGAAACAAUAUAAUGUUUGCUCAAACCCUGUGACGAUCAUUGCGAGAAUCAAGAACCUUGCAAGAUUUUUUUUUUUUUUUUGGAGAAAAAAAUAGCAUGUUAUCUGUUUCAUUCAAAAGGAAAAUAAAUUUAGCUACAAAAUAUGGAGACAGCUAAGGCCUCAAUAAAUAAGAACGUGAAACACACGCGCGCACACACACGCACGCAAAAAAAAAAAAANAAAAAAAAAAAAGAAAAAGAAAAACUAGACACCUUGCAAGAUUUUGAAAAACAUUUUGUUGACCUUUAGUUUUUUAUUUUUAUUUUUAGAAAACUAGUUGUCAUAUAUCUAUAGCCAAGUUCAUUAUUAUCAAACAAUGAAGUUGGUAGCGUGUUACCUUAUUAUUUUUUUUUAAAAAAAAUCAGGCAAUAUAACUUUGGUGGUCCACAGCUGACGUGGCAGUCCUAUUUCACGUAAAAGUUUCUCCUUAACUACGCUCACCUUACACGUCAUUCUCCCAGUUUCUCCUUAACUACGCUCACCUUACACGUCAUUCUCCCGAGUCAACACCUAGAAGCCCAGGGGUAAGCAUCGUGACGAACUGCAUGGAGUCUAUCCAUAUUUUCUAUAUUUACGCGCGGCGCCGCGUGGGAAAAGAAAAAUCCCGUGCGCGGCACCGCACGACGGCACGAGCCACCCAAACGCCGUUUACGAACCUUCCGUCGCGAAUCUCCACGUAAAUCCAACGGUCAUAUCACAUCCCACGCGUCCGACUCGCGACCGUUCCCCUGUGUCCGCGUUUCCUCUGGUGCUAAGCAAUGACUCAUCCUCCGAAGGUCACGCGAAGCUCCACUGUGAAACCGAAAAAAAGUGCGCCCAAAUACCAACCGAGUUUCGUGUGGGCCCCACCGAAUAUUUCUUACGUGUCACUCUCUGAUUGGGCCUCGCCUUUUACUUGUUCUCCAAGUCGAGCUAGUUCGAUACCUAUAUAAAGGGAACACUUGCAUAGAGUGUGACACAAACACUGCAAGAUAUUGAGCUCUAAUGAAACCUUAUAACGACUUCAAAAUAGAAGAAGAAGAAGAAGAAGAGAAGAAGCAUAAAUAUAUGGAUACAAUGAAAACGGCGAAUCUCCUUCUAUCCCUUUCAUUGGGGUCGCAUGUGAUCGGAAAGCCGCGCAAUAAGACAAAGAGAUCGAGCACUGCAGCCGCCGCCGCCGACGGUGUCUUCGAGUGCAAGACCUGCAGCCGCCGCUUCGCGACGUUCCAGGCCCUCGGUGGCCACCGCACGAGCCACAACCGCGCUCGGUCCCGACCCGACGGUUUGAGCCUGAGCCCGCGAGACGCGUCCAAGGCGAGGGUCCAUGCGUGCGCGCUUUGCGGUGCCGGGUUUGCGAUGGGGCAGGCGCUCGGCGGGCACAUGCGCCGUCACCGGGCGACCGAAGUGGCAGAUCUUAUCGGAAAAAAUAGUGCUAUGGAGAAGGUUGUGAACUUGAAUGAGAGUUCUUUGGAGGCUGGUUGUAGCGGGGGCUCCGAGUAUCGCUUGUUGGAGUUGUUCGUGUAGUAAAAUCAUUAGCUAGUGUUUUAGUUUCUGCAUAUAUGAAACAUAGAGAUUUGUUGAUUCUUUCUUCGUGAUAUAUUUUCAGAUUUUGUUUUUUUAUAUGCAUUAUCUUUUAGUAUGGUUCACGGUGUAAGUAUUGAUCUCAUUAUAGAUGUUGAUUAAUAGUUAUGAGCUUUUUUUAAGAUUGGUGUGUGUAUAUAUAUAUAUAUAUAUAUAUAUAUAUAUAUAUAUAUAUAUAUNUAAAAGAAAUAGUUAAACCUGUCCAAAAAAUUGAAAGCUAGCUAAAUUAACUAAAUUAAUUAAUCAUAGAAGUAGAAAUAUUAUGUUUUGAAUUUCCUUUACCCAAUUGCAAUAUAUUCUAUAUUCAAAUCGAGCUCAAAAUCAGCCAUGUAUAGAAGGACGUACACUUUACUAAUUAUGAAUCUUGACGAUUUGUGUGUGUAUAUAUAUAUAUAUAUAUAUAUAUAUAUAUAUAUAUAUAUAUAUAUAUAUAUAUGUGAACACGUAUUUGAGUAUAGUAAUUAAAGUCAGCCUCUAGGCAUAAGCAUUACAGUAAUCAGAUUCAAUAAAUUUAUUUAAAUCAACUCUAUUAAGUAGUAAUAUCAGUUAUGUAAUUACAGUUGAUUCACAACAAACAAAUUAAUUAAUGUUGAACUCAAUCUUGAUAAUUCAUUAAACUUAACGCUAUUAUCGUAAUUUGUAUGAACUACAUGUGAAUUUCAUGCGCUUAUAUUAAAAGAGCGACGUUUGCAGUAGUUUUGAAUGAAAAUGUGAUUGGAUAUAUAAAAGAUUUAGACACUAGUAAUAAUAAUUGGAUUUAAGUAUUUUGAGUUGGUGUUUGGGCCUAACGAGUUAUUGUUGCUAGUGGGCUGGAUCGUUACAUUUGGUAUUAGAGCCGAUUCAUCAGCCAGAAAAUGUGUGGCAAGUUUCGGCUAAGUCAGGAUUUGAAAGACAAAAUAAUAGACGAUGUCGGAGUGUGAAUGACAAAAUGACUGGCUAUGUCUGGGUUUUGAUGAUAAGGCUAGCGAGACGAGUCUCACAUCGCUUGAUGAUCUUAGGCUGUUUGUGUGUUUGGACUGACGAAGACGUAAGGACCUAUGUGUGAUGGCUCUCGACUGAGUCAGAGUCUAAAAGAUAAGAUGAUAAGCGAUGUCGGAGUCUAAAUGACAAAAUGACCAACUAUGUAAAGGUCUGAAUGGCAAAACUAGUGAGACGAGUCUCACAUCGCACGAUGAUCUUGGGUUUAGGAUCUUAACGGAGGAGUCUGUCACAUCCCAAUAAUCUCACAUCGAACAGAAAUAAAAAUUUGAUUGGAUGUAUAAGAGAUUUAGACAUUAGUAAUAAUAAUGGGUUUAAACAUUUUAGGUCGGUGUCAGCCGGUCAACUUUCUUAUGUGAACAAAGAAGAUUUGGUGACUUGUAUUCGUGCCUGUACAUCACUUAAACACGCUUCCAGGUCAGUAGUGGCCUCCAACCGCUUUGUCUAAGUCGACAGUUAUGUGGAUGUUUCCUUACAAGUCUUAGGCUCUAAUUUAAGACCAUCUGAAAAGUGGGUGGCUUACGUACAGUUAUUUUUCUAAUAAAAAUAAAACUUUCGCAAAAUCUUGCUGCCUAAGCUAUUCAUCUCCAGAAAUUCGGAUGACAUAUCUUAGCUUUAAAUUUUAAUUUAUCACCCAAACUUUCAGAAUUGAUACUAUUAAGUUUCACCAUCUAAUUUAGAUUACUAAAUAUUGAUACAUCGUUGGCGUAAAAAUAAUGCAACAUUAUAAUUAUUGAGAUAGCAUCAAUUAACUCAUUUUUUGGUUAGCAGUACUUCAAUGAUUAGUCAAUUAAUUAAAUUAGAUUCUAAACACGCACUUUAUCCUAAUUUAAAUUCAAAUAUCAAAAUCUCUCAUUUUUUUAAGAAAAUGGUAACAUUCUACCGCUUGGUUAUUGUUUUCUAAAAUUAAAUUUAACUGAAAAUAUGAAGCAAGUAAGUUUGAAAUUUGAAAACUUGAAUAAUAAUUUUCAAAUUGCUUGCCACUUGCACUAGAAAUGGACGUUUGGUAUCAAAAUAUCUGUGCUUGAAAAAUUGUGGGUUGGUUCUUGGGUGAAGGUGUGGACCCGGUUCACCGAAUGAAAACAGUCGUCGGCCACCGCGGCGCGAACCGCGUAACGCAAUAUUUCUGCGGUGUGAAAACGCUGAACCCGCGGAAAAUGACCACGAAGCAAAUUAACCCAUCUACACGUUUGAAACCUUCUUGUGGGCUCACAUUACCCCGAUGUCACAUGUCUCGUCCUGAUUGGACAAAUUCUCCAACUUCCUCCCCAAAAGACUGGUCCACGAACAACGUGGCACGUCCUAAUUGGUGGAGUUCCCUUGCUUCCUUUCCAUGCAAAAAAAAGUCUAAAAUACACCAAUUAUAUUACUGAUAAUACGAUUAAUCUUUUUGGAUUCACUUUGUUCCAUCAUGGUUAUUAGAAUUUUUUUUUAUUAUAUUUUUCUCUCAAGUAGAGAAAUAUGAUUGAUUUGUUAUUGAUAAUAUAGUGUAAGUGUUACAUUGUAAGUUUUCUUAACUACAACAUGCAUGUAGUUAUUGAGAACUGAGGAACCAAAUACAAAUGUGCAUGUAUAUCAACCCCUUUCUUUUGAGUAAUAAUAAUAUGUUUAGAGCUCGAUUUGAAUCACAGGAUUCACAGCAGAGGAGAAAAGGAAGAGAAAAGAGCAGUUUGAAACAAACAUUCGUGAAUAUCGCUUGCUGGAGCAGUUUCUAUAGGAGUUUGAUGCGAUGCAAAUUCUUUUAUAAUUAAUUAGAUUUGUUGUUUUGAUCCUUCGUUUUGUCGCUCGAGUUCUAAAAGUUUGAUGUGAUAAAACAUGAACUCAAGGAAUAGAUAUAGAAACCGUGAAGUACAGCGUAAAAUCAGCUUUACUCUCGCGUUUUAUCUAUCUAUAUCUAUAUAUAAAAAAGCAAUUAAUAGGAUGAAAAAUGAUGUAGAGAAAAUCUCAGAACAGGGUGCAAGAAUUUAAUAACAAUUAUCAAAACAUGUUAAUUUGAUGAUGGAUGUAGAGCUACUAAAAUCAACAAAUUAAGGAAUAUAUAUAUAUAUAUAUAUAUAUAUAUAUACACAGCAUGAAAUAGAUUUCUCUCUCCGAUCUUCUUUUCGCGUUCCCUUUCAAUUUCUUAAAUAUCAUGAACGCAUCAACUGAUUCAGUAUAUGGAAUCUCAGAUAAUAAUAUUUCAGACAACAUUGUAAAACUGCGAAAAAACAUGAACUUAUAGAAUCUCACUGAAAUUCAAUUACGCAAGGCUAAAAGAAGCAUGCAUGAUGCAUCUGCUUCAUACAGAUAGUUAACUCAUCCAACAUUUCCAAUCUAGUUAGUAUUCGGUGUUGCGCUUUCACUCUCAAAUAGCUCAAAUUUUCUUUAUUGUUUCGCCUUUUCCUGUCAUUUAAAAAUUUUCAGCUACCUAGUGAAUCUCUCGCCCACAUUUGCGCUGCGCGCGAUGGGAAUGUACCCUUCUUUCGUCGUCCUCGGCUUUCGCGGCAUGCAUCCAGCAUCUGCACCCUCAGUUCCCUUACAAAACUCAAGUUUCACCCCACUGCUAUGCAGAAUUUUGUGAAGAAGUGGUCGGUUUGAUUAACUUAAACAACAAAAACAGAAAAAGAAUAGUUUCCGCGCCAACUCUUUAUUCGGAGUACUCCAUCAUCUUAUUCAUGCAAUUUUUGUCUCUCAUUUCUAAUCUCAUCUUCCUCAAGUGCGUUACUUUGAGAACAAACACACUGCAGGUUCAUCAAAAGUAAAUUGAACGGCGAAACAAAUGCCGAAAGAAACAGAGAGAGCUUGAACUUUACCUAUUGACAUUGCAAGACGAUGAUCUCUUCAACAGUGAGAGUUCUCCUGCACCAUUUUCUCCGAUGCUCUUCGCCUCAAUCGAGCUCCCACCGUAGUACUCCACAGAAGAAGCAGGAAUGUUAUUUACUGCUUCUUUCACCGACACUGAGCUGCAGGGGAUCAGAUUCAUUAGGACCGUCGAAGCCCUGAACCUGCCGCUCAAGCAACCGCCUGCCGUCCGAUCCCCGUCGACCCGCGCAGUCGACGAGGCUGUUUUGAGGGGCGGUGGAAGCGCCUCCGGGCUCGACGACAAGCACGGCGGCGGCGAGAUCUCCUCCCUCCGGAGCUCCGCUCGACAGUUAGAGUAGUCGGCAAUGCAAUCCUCUCGCGCUCUCCACGGCGGUCUCUCCUCCGUCUGCGUCGACGCGUCGGCCGAUCCGACAGCCGUCUCCGCCGUUAGCCCACGAGAGUUCGGCACUGUAUCGGUUUUUCGCGAAUUGUGGAAGCCGAGAUCGCCUCUGAUGGAUUUGGAUGCGUCGAGAGGCUUCUCCGAGCUGGACGAAGAGGAAGCGGUCGCGGUGACCGAAGACGAGGCGGCGGUGGGAACGAGCUCCGUCCCCUUGAGCACGUACUCGUUGCUGUGGAUCGGAGGGAUCAAAUCGUCGUCGGAGAGGUCGUGCCACACAUAUCCGUUCUUGUAGGCUCUGAAUCAAACAGUUGGAGAUCAUCAACGAAGCAAGGGAGAUAAGAACUUCAUGUGUAAAGAUCUUCUCAAACAUUUUUCUAUUUUGACAUGCCUCCUCAACUUUGAUUUUUUUAAAAAAAAUUUAAUUGACAUUUUCUAUUGAUAUCGUUUUUCCAUUUCAAAAUGGCAAAUAAUUAAUAGUUUAGAGAGUGUUGAUUUUUAUUAAUUAAUCAAUCCAGCAGUUAAUUAACCAGUCAAUUAAUUAAGUAAUUAAUUAAUUAAUGUUACCGUUUGGAAGACCAGGAGUACAUUGCCCCCAACCACUGUCCCCUGAGAACGUUGAGUCGGUUGAUAAAAUCUGAGGAGAGAAAUGUAAUUAACUAAGGAAUUAGUGACAAAAAAAAAAUUAAUAGCUAAUUUUUUUUUAAAAAAAUGGAACUUUUUUUUUUUUGUUGUUCCAAAUUUGGUGAUUAAUGUUUAAUACCUCUGAGAAAGAGACCUUCGUCGGAGGAGUAGGUGACUUCCAUGUAGUGGGGAUGCUCCAAGUGAUUGUUCCUUGAGAGGUAGUAGACGACGGCCGCGACCGCCACGGCUUUUUUCUUAUCCGAUGAUCUCCGCGGCGGCUUCGGCUCGAUCCACACCUUCGCCCUCUCCGGGCUCGCCUCCGCCCGCUCCCUCUGAUCACCGGGGAGCUCCGCGCUUCCCCGAGAAGCAGAAGCAGAAGCCAUGGAAAUUAAGAGAGAAAGAGAACAAGUUGUUAGUAGAAGAAGAGCGAGUGAAAUAGGAUUAUAGGGGGUGGGGGAACAUUCAAAUCGGGAGGGGGCGGGACAAACCGAAACUAUUGCAUGAACCCGGUGCGCCGUGCUCCGUACUUGUGAAACCUUAUCGUAAAGGUUUUAGAACUUUGUAUUUAGUUUAUUUGAUGUGUUAUAUGAUAUUCGAAAGAUAAAUUUACCAGAAAAGUGUAAAUUUUAAACAUCAUUUCUCAUCCAACAAACAACUUUUUUUUUAUCGUUAAUUUCCAAAGCAAUUUAAUGCCUGAAUGAUAGUCUUCUAGGCACCGUUUGGUUCGGAUAUAAGUAAGAACUAGUUAUUAUAGGGAUAGGUACAAGUAUGGGAAUAAGAAAAAUAACGUUUGGAUGAAAAUUGGAUUGUUUACGGUGAUAAAAAAAAAAUAACGUUUAGAUAGAUAAUAUAAAAUAAGAAAAAUAGUGAAUAAUUAUAUAUAGAAAAUAGAGGUGUUGAUGGGGAUAAUUAUACCUGAUUAUUAUAGGUAACCGAAAAUUACUAUUCUCGAAUAAAAAAUUAGCGUUUGGAUAUAAAAGGAAAAUAAGGAGUUAUUCCAUCAUUAUCUCCAAUCCAAACGCAACCCUAUCUUUUUGUACGCAUGUUCUUUACAUGUUAAUGUUUAUAUUUUGACAGGUGCUUUACUAAUCUUAACGCUUUUAACUUAUUUUAAGAUGCUUAUUAUCUAACAUUGCGUGUGGUUCAUGAAUAAUCAUGGGUACGUACACCUGGUGUUUUUCAAACUUUCUAUUAUUCCGAUUAAAAAAAAGGGUAAAGUUAAAAAGGGCGAGAAUGGAAUGGAUCAAAUGAUAGUGUUGCAGGGAGCAUGAUAUUUUUGUAUGACUUUAUAUCAUCCUAAUACUUUUUAAUUUAACUAUUACUAACUCCAACGGUCUAGUGAGUUUGAGUUUGACUGAGGAUAAGAAGGGGGAGGAGAAAAAGGGCGGGCCACAUUUUCAAACAAACUGUAGCUGUUUGGUAAAGUGGAUUAGAGAUGGAGUUGUACCUCACAACAUUAGUUUGAUUUUGGACAUCAAUAACAGUGCCUCGUUGUUGGAGCCCAAAAGUCAAAAUGUACAGAAACCCAACCACUCCAAAAUUAGUACACCACUACAGUAUUGACCUCGAACCUCUCAUAAAACAUUACUGAUACACUGACCUGCACAUAGAAUAUGCAGUAACUAUUUUUUACGUGGGACAAUUGCUUAUGUAUUUCUGAAAAAUUUUCGACUUUUCGAUUUGCACCUCUUAGAAGACUAAUAUUGAAAAAAAAUUUUCUUCGUUCCAACCUAUUUCUAAUAUACUCUUAUAGUUAAAAUCUGUUAAUUAAGUCUGUUAUCUCUGUAAAAUUAUUAUUUUAUCCUUUCAAAUAUGUUUUUCCACCGUCAUUGACUUUUUUAUUUACCCUUAAAGUCAGGGAUAUAAAAAGUAUUUUGACUUUUGAUCUUUUCUAAUGUACUCCUCUACCGUCACCAAUAUUUCUUAUUUGCCCUUAAGUUAAGUGUAAAAUUGACAUUUUAAUUUUUUUAAACCGUGGUAGAUAUUUAACUCACGUUUAACCCAAGUUAACUUAACAGGAGAUAACUUCGGGGGUAUUUUGCAAUAACGGUGGAAUAUAUGAGGGGUAUUUUAGAAAGACAAAAAAAAAUAAAGAUAAAUCGGAUAUUUUCAAACGUAUGAGAGGUUUGUAGGCAAUUAUCCCUUUUUACAAUAGCGUCGUCAACACAUCAAAUAUCGUUUGGUGUAUAGUAAUCAAAUUAAUGAGCCAGGAAGAGUAAUGCUUCGAGCAUUUAAAUUAAUGUUAUAAAGUAUUGAUAAUUAGUCAGUAUUAUACAUAUGACAAAUAUUAGGUAACUAGUAUUUUUUAGACUUUAUCUCGUAUCAAGUGUUUUAGCUGAAGUAAGUAAAAUGAAAUAAAACACUGAUGAACGAAUCACUUGUUGAUGCGUAGACGGAUAGACGAAUACCGUAACAUUGUGGGGUACCUUCUGGGGUGCAUGUUGCAAUUACUCAGCUACAUAUCUGGGGACUCUGAUUGUCCUGGGUACGUUUGACUUGUAUAGUAUCCUACUAUUUUUAUCACUAGGUGAUUGAUUCUCUCACACCCAGAUUAAAAGAACCUUGCUCCAGAUCCAGAUCUGCACAAAAUCCACUGAAGCAAUUCCACUGAUUCUACUGUUGAAGUGAAACACCACAAUAUACAAAUGUAAUCCAUUCUAUUUAAUUCAAUGUCCCCUCAUUCAAGCUAUUAAAUAUUAAGAGGAGUUAGGUGAAUUUUGAAAGUUGCCAUAUUUGUAAGCCUUUGAAUCUUUAGUUUUGAAGCACUUUAGAAAAAAGAUUUGUGUAGAGUAAAGAGGGGAGGGGACAAGGAAUCAGAUGAGCAUAUAACGACAAUGCUAUUUAUCAAUAAAGGAUUUAUGAAUUCAAAUGGUGCAAAAGAUAAUGAUCUGAAUCAAUGAGAAACCUACUCCCAUGAUGCUUUAAAUAAAUAGUUGCUGGACCUCAUAAAUGACUCUUCAUAUUACCAUCAAUAGUCCAAUAAGUCAUUCCACCUAGCUAUGCUUGAUUUACAAUUACAAAUUGAAAUAUGACACCUCUUGAGAUAAGUUGAAAAUCUGAUUUUUAUGUAAAACUGUUUUGAGUAAACCAUAAGGCUAGCUCCUUUGAUAUUAGGGGAAGAAUGCGUUACGAAUGAUCAGAAAGUGCGAUGAAAAAAUAUAGUUCAGUCGCUUCCGUUAAAAAUAUAGCACUUUGUGGAUCGCAAUGAUCCAGUUACGAUAUUAUUUUCGUAAUUCCAUAAGAAAAUAAAAAAGUAUAUUUAUGUAUAGUCUUCAACUUCUUUUGGUUCAACAGAGUAAAGUAGUUCUCAAUACAAAACGGGCCUAAGACAAAUCAUGGGACUUAUUUUGCAUAUGUAACUAUACAUUAUGAGCAGUAGUACCUGUUACCAUAUCUCAACUCAUUUUAUAAAAUUUUACAUUUUGAUUCAAAAUUUUCAAACCAAUUUGAGAUAGUGGUGAAGCAUUAAGUGACAAUUUUUUUUUUUUUUGAGUAAAAACACUAAGGGAGUGUUUGGAUUGACGAAUCUCUAGAUCCAACAUAACUUAAAUGUAGUGGUGUUGGAGUUUUCCUAAAAUAUAGUUAUUUUUUCGUUGUCUAUUUUGAUGUAAUUCAUACAAUCUAAAAAUUAAAUUUAAGCACUUUUUGGCUUGUUCUGAUGUAAUUUGAUGCUAGAGUAACUAGUUUUUUGAGUUCUGUUGUUUAUUUUGAUGUAAGUAAAUAAAUUUUAUUACCUUCUAAAUGUAGUGAUAAAUUUAUUCUCAUAAUAUCCAAAAUAUUAAAUAAUUAAGUUCUCCCUUAAUAUUUAAAGGUAAUUCUAACCUAUUGUAAAGAAAGUUGAGUUUAGGUUUAAAUAUUUAAUUAAUUUUUGAGAAAAAUGUCGAGUGCAGUGAAAAUUGAGUUCGGCACUCUAGAGGAGAAAGUUAAAAAUAGAUGAAGUAGAGAUCUAACGUAACUUGAGUUAUAUUAUUGUUUUAACUUAUACCAAAAUAAAUACCGAAAAUAAUGAAACUUGAGUUUCACCUUUUUACUUCAAAUUAAACUGCUCAUAAGUGAGAAUUAAUAUGGGCUUUCAUGAAGAGAUUAAUUGAGACAGGCCAAAAAUGCAGAGUUUUUUUUUUUUUUUUUUUGGGUUACUUCCAAUUUCUUUUAUCUGUCACUGUCACUUCAAAUGAGAAAUACAAUAGCAUAAUAAUCGUGCAAAAAUUAAGGAAAAAAAAUAAACAGAAAAAAGGCAAAAAAACUCGACGAAAAAAAUCUUCUCCUUAUUGAGCUCGACUCAAGAUUAGGAUGAUCCGGCUCAAGUUCGAGUCGAUUAGAUAACAAACUCGAGCUCGAGCCUAAAAGUUACGAUUCCUCUUAAUAGUCCCACAUCGGCCACAAAACACGAUUACAGAGUGUGCGCACUAUAAAUAGAGGACACCCCCCAACGUUUAGUUUCAUACCUUUCUCGGCCUUUUGGCUAAGAUCAAGUGUAGUAUCUGUUCUUAUCAGUUUAAUAUCUGAUACGUGGGCCAUGUGCCCACCUCGAUAUUAAAUUAAUUUUUCAGUGGGGGAGGGCCCAUCGACAGUAGCUUGCUACUGGGGCUCUCGUGCGUCGCCCUCGCGUUGCACUACUGCGUGGGCCUGGCGCACCCCUACCAAAACUUAAGCCACAAAUCAUUCGACCUUGUGUAGGGCCUAAAAUUAUAAGGGCUCUUAAUCUAAUUUUACAUUUGAAUCCCUAGCUUAUAUUGAGUUUACAAGAAAAAUCCCGAAGUUCGGUUGUGUUUGUUUCACCAGGGUGAAGUGAUUUUCAAUUUACUUUUCUUGUUUGGUUCACAAUAACUUUUCUUUCGUAGAAAUUGUAAUUUUUGUAAUUUUCGAAAAUAUCGUAAUUGACUUUGGUCUAUCCUCAAGCUAUAGUUAAUUACAGUUAAUUACGACUUCAUCAUUCACUUUAUGCCGUACAAAUAAGUACAAAUAAAUACAAGUACAAAGACUUCAGUUCUACAACUAUACAAACAAAUAACGAGAUAAAUAAUUUUUAUAUGAAUUCUACCUUAUCAAAACGUCUAUUUCAGUAUGAAUUACACCUUUAGUGAAAACAACGCAGCCGAGGCCGGGUUUAAUUGGAUUACUUUUGGGGUGCGUUUGGUUCGCGCUAUCUUUUAAAAAUUUCUAGUAAUCCAAUGGAAAUGAAAAAAUAUGACGGUAUUUGGUUAAACGCACUAAGUAAUUUAGUUGGUAAUAUUGAAUUCACUUGGGAAUAAGAUUCACCCCAAACUACUAAUCUCAUUCCCUUGAGGGAGGGUGGGUAUCCUCAUAUUAAUGGAUUAAGGUAAUCAUAAUAUGUCUAAUAUCUUUCUUUUUUCCUACCCGCCGGUUAAUUGAUAUUAUUUUUCUUUACACUCUAACCUUAUAUCUCUCUCUAAACUUAUUUUUCUCUCUAAAAUUUAAUUUACUUUUGGUAACAUUAUCUAAAAUUAAUUAAUUAAAUAAAUUAAUUAAUUGUAUAUUUUUUGUAAUAUUAAAUAACAUGGCUAAUUAAUAUUAUUGUGCGAACCAAACACAGAAAUUUCACAUUCUUAAUAAUAGGAUGAAUAGGAAUAAGAUUCUCGGAUAUCUUUUAUUUCUAGUAAUCUUCCAUAAUGCGAACCAAACGCACCCUUAAGCCCAUAUCACUUUCCCUAUUGGGCCUUUAUGGGCUUAUCGGCUACCAUUGGGCUCGGGAUCUUUGGGCUCUGUUUGGGUGUUGACUCAAAGUUAAUUUAAAGAUUUAAUUUUAGUUAUAAAUUAUUUUUCGGUUGAAUUUAGCCAAUUUACAGAAAAACCAUUCACCUUUGUUUAAAUAAACUUUGACCAAAUGUGAGAAAUUUAGUUUUUCUGUUACAGUAUUAGCCCUCAUUUUUUUUUAGGGUGAAAAUGUAUAAGAUUUAUUUAGACUUUUUAUAUAUUAUUAUCUUAAUACCUAACGUUUAAAAUUUUCGAUUUUACUAUCCAAUCUUUCAAUUAGACUCUUCUAUUACGGAAUUUGAAGUAAGGCUCAUUUAAUUUGAAAAAUAAUAACAUGAAUAGCACGUAACAUCCAAAGCAAAUGUGAUUUCUGAAGUAAAAGAAUCAUCAAAUAACUCAAAUUAAAUAAAUUGAAAUGUUAAAUAGUAAUAUUAAAACUUCUAAAAAUUAGACAGUACAUAAUUAAAAUGGGCAUGGUUUAUAUUUUGAAACUUAUCUUUUCCCAGUUUAGUUAAAUUAAAAUAAAAUUUUAAAUCUCUUGUUAGGUAGGUGCAAUAUUCUACAUCCUAUAUAGAGAAUGAGAAGAGAUGCAUACAUAGCAUUUUUUUUUUUUUGGGUUCAGGUUUCGUUUUUCUCAUUUGACACUCUUUAAACACCUCCACACGUUUCUUCUAUGCCCACAUAAGUACGGCCAUGCGAUGCACGUGGGACACCACGUUGUCGCCACGUGCACUGCUCGUGUUUGCUUAGGUUUUACACGAGUGGAGUGUCAAAGUCUAAGGUGAGGUGGAAAUACAAUGGAAUGUGAUCCAUGUGCCCAAAAUGUAGUAACACAGAACACCAUGGGAAACUUCAAAUACCCCCAUUGUGGCUUUGCACUUUUUCACUUUAGUAGUAUUUUUUUAUUUUAGUACCUUAUGGUUUAAAGUGUAUCAAAUUAGUAUUUUAUAAUUUCGCACUUUAUCACUUAAGUACCCUAUGGUUUCAAAUGUAUCAUGUUAGUACCAUAUGAUUUUAUUUUUGUAUCAAGUUAGUACCCUGUGGUAUCAUUUUUAUAUCAAGUUAGUACCAUGUGGUUUUAAUUUUUUUUUUAUUAUUCAUUUCGGAAUAUAUAAUUUAACGAAAUAUUAAACCACAGGGUACUAAAGUGAGAAAGUACGAAACCACAUGGUACUAACUUGAUACACUUGAAACCACAGGGUACAAAAGUGAGAAAGUACGAAACCACAGGAUACUAACUUGAUACGCUUUAUGCCACAGGGUACUAAAGUGAAAAAGUGCAAAACCACAUGGGGGUAUUUGAAGUUUCCCCUAAAUAAAGCUUAUUAUAAGGAAUUUUUUUUUUUAAACCAUGCUUAAGAUAAGCAUCUCCAAACAGUUGUACUAUUAUUAUAUAUUAGAUACCGACACUUCAAAAAAUAGCGUCAUAUAAUUUCUUCAAAUUAUUAUUUAAUUUUCUGACGCCUAAAAUUAUUUGGUUUUAAAAAAAUUAUGACACUUUAAAGUGCUAUAAUAUAUCUCACCAACGAAUGACAAAAGCGUCAAUAUAUACGCGCACGACUCAUAUAUGCCAAUGCUUUCUAAUACGACGAUCUAUUAAUUUGGGACAAUUUUACACAUCGUUAAAUACUGGAAAAAAAAUCUGUAAAUAUUAUUUUUCUUAGAGUGCUUGUGGCUGCAAGUUUUACCGUGGGAUGUUAAUUCUCACCAUUUCCCUCGGCCUAAACCAUACUAAUCAAAUACUGAACUAAAAAGAUGAUUGCAGUUGAAAAUAAAAGCCGAAAUUUUGUUGAACGGAUGCUACCCAUUUCGUUUAUUUCAUAUAAAUAAAUUUAGUUGGAGUUGUGAAUCAACUAGGAUUCGAACUUGGGAUCUCGAAUACCAACCAGCAAACUCUUUGCCACGCUCUAGGUACGGUCGGUAUGCUUUUACAGUUAAUUCAACUGUAUGGUAUUUUUUUAGAAAAACUUUUCUUAAUUUUCUCCUUAAUUUAUAUUAAAUUAGUGAUUAAAAGUGAAGUAUAGCUCUACUAUAUCAAUUCAUCAUGCCUUCAGAAAAGAAAAAAAAAAAAAGUAAUUGAGAACAUAAAUUAUGAAAUAGAUUCCAAAUCAAAUACAUUGAUGAGCGCGGAUGAGAUUGAGCUUACAAUGUUUAUUUUGUUGGUGCGUCUUUCAUUUAAAGUUUGACUUAAAGUUGUGAUGUUUGAUUUUAAAAAAUUGUGUCACCAAUACUCCACCUAAACUUUUUCUCUAUGAAUUUAUUGUCCAUACAGAAAACCAAUUUAUCGCAAUUAAUAAUGCCGAUCGAUCCAACGAAAUCCAAUAAUUAAGAUUAAUCUUCAAUUUGGUUGGAUGGUAAGAUUAAUCAUGUAAUGCCGAAUUUUUUUUUUUUGAGAAAGAGGUAGCAAGCUACCUGCUUCAUUCAUUAAGCAAAAUGAAUUUAGCGUACAUGAUGGAGGCAGCUAAGGCCUCCUAGCGGAACCGGCAAAGCGAAAAGAAACAGUAAGAGAACAGUACAGAUAAGUAGACAAGAGCACCGACUCGAGAGAUUAAAGAGCGAUCACGGGUCUAGUGCCUCGGUCCAUGCCUUCAAUAACGCGACGACCCUUCCAAUUGCUCGGGUAGCAUCCGGGGUCUCCUCGCUGAAGACGAUUUUAUUGCGCUCCGUCCAAACAACCCACCAGAUUGCCGCCAAACGUGUGAGCCUUUUCGUUCUGUGCAUUGCUGAAUUUCAUGAACGUGGAGUUUGCUGGUCUAUUAUUGUAUGAAAAAUGCUAUAUGUACAGCUCUAUAUAGGUAUAAAUUUUACAUCUCUGUAAUCUUAUAAUUUAUAAAAAAUCAAAUGAAUUUUAAUAAUAGUAAUAAUAAUAAUAGGCCUUUUUGCAUAAAAAAUCUACUUAUUUUGGGUUUCUGCAAAAUCGGAUCACCUUUUUCGUUUUUGCAGAUUCGGUCCGCUUUUUCAGCAAACUGACCAAAAUACCCUUAUUACUUUUUCUCUUUCCUCUUUCCUCUUUCUCUCUCCUCCUCUUCGUUUCUGUCGUUCUUUUUUUUUUCUCGCCGAAAAAAAAAGAGGCGGACCGGACCGUCGCCUUCUUCUUCACCGUCGCCUCCCUCCUCACCCUCCUUUUUUAUCGUUGCCUCCCUCCUCACCCUCAUCUCCACCGCCCGCGACCCCCUCCUCCUCUCCCCUGCCGCCGCCGCUGAGCCCACCCCCACCGUCGUCUCCGUCGCCGUCGCCGAGCCCACGGCCAUGGCGGCGGCGGCGAAGGCGGAGGAGCGCGGGGGGGAGGGGAAGGGGUCACACGACUCCAUGGCCAUCACCGCGCUCUUCUUGAACGGCACCGCCCCGCCGUCCCCGUCGUCGUNNNNNNNNNNNNNNNNNNNGCGUCGCCGAGUAUGGAGCCCGUGUCGGCGCCGGGGAGCUCAAAGAAGAGGCGGUCGACGUGCGCCGACGACUUGAUGCCGCGUAUCACGCUCUCCGACGACUCGCCAUUGUACUACUCGUCGUCGGACGGCGCCGUCGACAGGCUGGUCAUGUCCCGAUCGCGCCCCUCGUCCGACGAGUUGGUGAAGCGCGACUCCGGCGAGUCCGGCCGGUACACCGAGUUGGCCGUCUUGUACAUGCAACCCGACGACGGCUCGACGGAGAAGAAGACGACGGCGAAGAAGAAGGCCUAAACUGGAUGCGGAGGCCGAGGCGGAGAAGAAGACGACGGCGAAGAAGAAGAUGGGGAGGCCGAGCGGCAGGGCGCAGAAGGGGGAGGUGGAGGCGGAGGCGCAGCCGGCGCCGGCACCGACGUCGGGCGUGUUCUUCUCCGUCGGCGCCGCCCCUCCUCCCGCUGCCGCGCAGAAGCUGCCGACUAGCAAAUGGUGUAAUGGUGUAAAUGGUGUAAUGGUGUAAUAGUGUAAUGGUGCAAAUGGUGUAACGGUGUAAUGGUGCAAAUAGUAUAAUGGUGUAAUGGUGCAAAAUUGUAAUGGUGUAAUGGUGCAAAUGAUGUAAUUGUGUAAUGGUGCAAAAUGGUGUAAUGGUGUAAUGGUGCAAAAUGGUGUAAUGGUGUAAUGGUGCAAAUGGUGUAAUGGUGUAAUGGUGUAAUGGUCCCCACUCCUCGCUAGCGCCGGCUGCGCCUCCGCCUCUCUCUCUUGCGCCUUGCCGCUCGGCCUCCCUUUCUUCUUCUUCGCCGUCNCUUAUGGUUUAAAGUGUAUCAAGUUAUUAUUUUAUAAUUUCGCACUUUAUCACUUUAGUACCCUAUGGUUUCAAAUGUCUCAUGUUAGCACCAUGUGGUUUCAUUUUUGUAUCAAGUUAGUACCCAGUGGUUUCAUUUUUAUAUCAAGUUAGUACCAUUUGGUUUUAAUUUUCUUUUUUUAUUAUUCAUUUCGAAGUAUAUAAUUUAACGAAAUAUUAAACCACAAGGUACUAAAGUGAGAAAGUACGAAACCACAGGGUACUAACUUGAUACAUUUGAAAAGUACGAAAACCACAGGGUACUAACUUGAUACACUUUAAACCACAGGGUACUAAAAUAAAAAAGUGCGAAACCACAUGGGGGUAUUUGAAGUUUUCCCUAAAUAAAGCUUAUUAUAAGGAAUUUUUUUUUUAAACCACGCUUAAGGUAAGCAUCUCCAAACAGUUGUACUAUUAUUAUAUAGUAGAUACCGGCACUUCAAAAAAUAGCGUCAUAUAAUUUCUUCAAAUUAUUAUUUAAUUUUCUGACACCUAAAAUUAUUCGGUUUAAAAAAAAAUUUGACACUUUAAAGUGCUAUAAUAUAUCUCACCAGAAAAUGACAAAAGCGUCAAUAUAUACACGCACGACUCAUAUAUGCCAAUGCUUUCUAAUACGACGAUCUAUUAAUUUGGGACAAUUUUACACAUCGUUAAAUACUGGAAAAAAAUCUGUAAAUAUUAUUUUUCUUAGAGUGCUUGUGGCUGCAAAUUUUACCGUGGGAUGUUAAUUCUCACCAUUUCCCUCGGCCAAAACUAUACUAAUCAAAUACUGAACUAAAAAGAUGAUUGCAGUUGAAAAUAAAAGCCGAAAUUUUGUUGAACGGAUGCUACCUAUUUUGUUUAUUUCAUAUAAAUAAAUUUAGUUGGAGUUGUGAAUCAACUAGGAUUCGAACUUGGGAUCUCGAAUACCAACCACCAAACUCUUUGUCAUUUGCUCUAGGUACGGUCGGUAUGCUUUUAUAGUUAAUUCAACUGUAUGGUAUUUUUUUAGAAAAACUUUUCUUAAUUUUCUACUUAAUUUAUAUUAAAUUAGUGAUUAAAAGUGAAGUAUAGCUCUACUAUAUCAAUUCAUCAUGUCUUCAGAAAAGAAAAAAAAAAUGUGAUUGAGGACAUAAAUUAUGAAAUAGAUUCCCAAUCAAUUGCAUUGAUGAGCGCGGAUGAGAUUGAGCUUACAAUGUUUAUUUUGUUGGUGCGUCUUUCUUUUAAAGUUUGACUUAAGGUUAUGAUGUUUGAUUUUAAAAAAUUGUGUCACCAAUAUUCCGCCUAAACUUUUUUUCUAUGAAUUUAUUGUCCAUACGGAAAACCAAUUUAUCGCAAUUAAUAAUGCCGAUCGAUCCAACGAAAUCCAAUAAUUAAGAUUAAUCUUCAAUUUGGUUGGACGGUAAGAUUAAUCAUGUAAUGCCGAAUUUCAUGAACGUGGAGUUUGCUGGUCUAUUAUUGUAUGAAAAAUGCUAUAUGUACAGCUCUAUAUAGGUAUAAAUUUUACAUCUCCGUAAUCUUAUAAUUUAUAAAAAAUCAAAUAAAUUUUAAUAAUAGUAAUAAUAAUAAUAAUAAAAUUAGAGAAUAAAAAGAAUUUUUGGAUGAACUGAGUAUACGUGUUACACCUAGCCCGUAUGCGUAUGUCGAGUCCAAUAGCUCUAUUUUUUUUUUUUUUUUUUUUUAUAUUAUAAAAUAGACCUCUAUGUACGGACUAAAGACCACCUUAGUUGAUGUCACACAAUUCUUCUGGUCAUUAUUUUAGCAUGUCACUAUAAGACGGUUCCUUGACUAUAUCAUCAUUAGAUAUUAUUAUUAUUGUUAUUAGGAAAAGCUUCAAAAAUCUCCUUUGUGAUUUCCUACUUUUUCACUUUUUCACUUUAGUAUCAUGUGGUUUAAAGUGUAUCAAGUUAGUACCCUGUAGUUUCGCACUUUCUCACUUCAGUACCAUGUGAUUUCGCACUUUCUUACUUUAGUACUCUGUGGUUUAAUAUUUGGUUAAAUUAUAUAGAAAAAACUUUAGAUAUCUUAUCUAAGUUUAUCGAAUAUUUAUUUUAGUACUCUUUAGUUGUAAUUUUGUUAUUGAUUUAAUGANGACAGAAACGAAGAGGAGAAAGAAAGAGGAAACAGAAAAAGUAAUAAGGGUAUUUUGGUCAGUUUGCUGAAAAAGCGGACCGAAUCUGCAAAAAUAAAAAAAGUGACUCGAUUUUAUAAAAGUUCAAAAUAAGUGAAUUUUUUAUGCAAA
This 34947-nucleotide long non-coding RNA is filed under the name Ananas comosus (pineapple). RNAcentral's name for it is "long non-coding RNA (ACOM_LNC020455)". The stretch from base 27232 to 27430 matches the Rfam family "U2 spliceosomal RNA". Lineage: Eukaryota; Viridiplantae; Streptophyta; Magnoliopsida; Poales; Bromeliaceae. The record is from RNAcentral.